Molecule: long non-coding RNA, 256 nt
Filed under: Lathyrus oleraceus (garden pea)
Lineage: Eukaryota; Viridiplantae; Streptophyta; Magnoliopsida; Fabales; Fabaceae
Description: Pisum sativum (pea) long non-coding RNA (PSAT_LNC009912)
Source: RNAcentral
AAAUUAGAUUAGAAAAAAGUGGAAUAAAAAACAUAUAUAAAAUAGUAGCAUAAAAUAAUAUAAAAAACAUUAUAAUAAAACAUAAAAACCAUAUGAGAAGAGAUAUUAGAGAAGAUGAAAAAAAACAUAAGAGAUGCAAGAUUGAGAAGAAAUGUGUGAUAAAAAUGUAAUUGGAAGAUAAAACAAUAAUAUAAAAGAUGAAAAAGAAAGAACAUAAGAGAUGACAUAUUAGAGUAGAAAAGGUGAAAUAUACAUG